This is a long non-coding RNA of Etheostoma cragini (Arkansas darter), 263 nucleotides long. RefSeq lists it as uncharacterized. NCBI's taxonomy places the organism in Eukaryota, Metazoa, Chordata, Actinopteri, Perciformes, Percidae. The record is from RefSeq and is a predicted model, not a curated record. The transcript has 2 exons.
UCUGCUACCAGUUAAACUGCAACUUGUGAAAGAGUUAUGAAAAAGGAGAACAUUAUAAAUACAUAUUUAAAAAAAUAAAUAAAAUAAAAACACUAGCGUCUGACUAAUACUGGAUUCAUGAGGCCGAUAUUGAUAUUAAAGUUAAAGCCAUUUGAUGAUGUAUCGGACAAUAUAAUUUGAAUUAUUUCUGAUAAAAAAAAUUAUGAAUACCUUAAAGAAAUAGUUUUUAAUUUGGAUAUACGCUUAUUUGCUUGAGUUAGAUG